RNAcentral lists this ribosomal RNA (802 nucleotides) under Micromonospora aurantiaca (nom. illeg.). RNAcentral's name for it is "bacterial SSU rRNA". It matches the Rfam family "Bacterial small subunit ribosomal RNA", at positions 96 to 911 of the family's 1533-position model. Lineage: Bacteria; Bacillati; Actinomycetota; Actinomycetes; Micromonosporales; Micromonosporaceae. The record is from RNAcentral.
CGGCGAACGGGUGAGUAACACGUGAGCAACCUGCCCCAGGCUUUGGGAUAACCCCGGGAAACCGGGGCUAAUACCGAAUAUGACCUCUGACCGCAUGGUUGGUGGUGGAAAGUUUUUCGGCUUGGGAUGGGCUCGCGGCCUAUCAGCUUGUUGGUGGGGUGAUGGCCUACCAAGGCGACGACGGGUAGCCGGCCUGAGAGGGCGACCGGCCACACUGGGACUGAGACACGGCCCAGACUCCUACGGGAGGCAGCAGUGGGGAAUAUUGCACAAUGGGCGGAAGCCUGAUGCAGCGACGCCGCGUGAGGGAUGACGGCCUUCGGGUUGUAAACCUCUUUCAGCAGGGACGAAGCGUAAGUGACGGUACCUGCAGAAGAAGCGCCGGCCAACUACGUGCCAGCAGCCGCGGUAAGACGUAGGGCGCGAGCGUUGUCCGGAUUUAUUGGGCGUAAAGAGCUCGUAGGCGGCUUGUCGCGUCGACCGUGAAAACUUGGGGCUCAACCCCAAGCCUGCGGUCGAUACGGGCAGGCUAGAGUUCGGUAGGGGAGACUGGAAUUCCUGGUGUAGCGGUGAAAUGCGCAGAUAUCAGGAGGAACACCGGUGGCGAAGGCGGGUCUCUGGGCCGAUACUGACGCUGAGGAGCGAAAGCGUGGGGAGCGAACAGGAUUAGAUACCCUGGUAGUCCACGCUGUAAACGUUGGGCGCUAGGUGUGGGGGGCCUCUCCGGUUCCCUGUGCCGCAGCUAACGCAUUAAGCGCCCCGCCUGGGGAGUACGGCCGCAAGGCUAAAACUCAAAGGAAUU